Homo sapiens (human) is the source of this 847-nucleotide long non-coding RNA. The record is from Ensembl. NCBI's taxonomy places the organism in Eukaryota, Metazoa, Chordata, Mammalia, Primates, Hominidae.
GUACAUAAAGAAGGACCAGAGCGACGUGUGGCCGCUGGUUGUCCCGUCCCCCUGCCCCAGUACGUUGAAGAAGAAGGUGAAGAAGAUCUCAUCCAGAAAGCCGUGCAUUCCGAAGAAAAGAAAGCGGGGUCUGACAUUGGAAUAAUGCAGAACACUUGAUUCAGGUCAUAGAAGAAGCAACACUUUGGGCACAGCACAACACAACCAAGUGAGCACUGGAAACCUGGUCAUAGGAAAUGAAACAGACUGCUGUUUUCAUGAGUGACCUGUUCUCGAGCCUAAGAAUCUCUUGGGCCACCCAGCCCCACAGAGGCCAGUAGGAGGUCAACUCUCCACCUCCCUAAAAAAAAAAGUAUGUGCACAGUAACUCCAUGUGGCACUGCAUUCCUUGCUAGAGGUUAGAGGGAAAACGAGUGUGCGAGAAGUAUGUUGUAAUUGAAGUAGCAUACUGCCUGACACCCAAGAGGUUGCUCUGUAAGUGAAUUGCCUUUCACCUCCUGCCAUGAUUCUGAGGCCCCCAGCCAUGUGGAACUGGAGAAGGGAGAUGAAAUAAUACCAGCAUCCUGAACCUGAAUGUCCAGCUUCGCCUUGUUCUUUGUGGAUUAUAAGACCAUUGAUUAAAUAAAUCCUUUCAUCAAAAUUAUCUUAAAAAAGAAACUACCAUCUAAAUCCAGUUAUUCCAUCUGACUUGGUAGCAGUGAUGUUUGGAGUUUAGGACCUAAAGGUGAAAUGGGGAAAAUCUGGGUGCUCGGAAAGACACCAGAAGCACACAGAAGAAGAUCAUAUGAAGACACAACAAGAAGGUGACUAGCUGCAAGCCAAGAAGAGAAGCCUCAGAAGAAAUCAA